CACGAGGGUUUCACUGUUUUAAAAAAUCUCCAAUGAAAUUGAGAUUGGGGUGAAGACGCCCCAUCCAAAUUGUAAGACGAGAAGUCCCCAUGGAACUUUACUGGAGGCUUAUAGUACGGAUAUUAAAAUAAAGGCUGAAGGGUCUUUUUUGUUUUUCUAGAAGGGUUUAAGGUAAGAGGGACAGUUUCAUUGGGGCGAUGGCUUUUUAAAAAGUAACAAAAGUGAGCUAGAAAUAUAAGUUUGAUUGUGAGGGAGAGGGCCCGAGCAGACACUCUAGGUGGGCGGAAGUGACCCGUUAUUUUUGAAUGAAAAAGUUAACGAUAAACA
This 327-nucleotide ribosomal RNA is filed under the name Anthemiphyllia dentata. RNAcentral describes it as "partial 16S ribosomal RNA". It matches the Rfam family "Bacterial large subunit ribosomal RNA", at positions 2003 to 2454 of the family's 2925-position model. The record is from RNAcentral. Lineage: Eukaryota; Metazoa; Cnidaria; Anthozoa; Scleractinia; Anthemiphylliidae.